GAAAAGUUUGACUCUGGCUAAGUGUUCUCUUUAUGAUGAUAAGUGCAUGUAAAUUUAGGUGAGACAAUAUUCAUAUAUUUUAAAUAAAACGGAAAUUAUAAAUAAUAGGCUCUGUUAGUAAUUAUUAAAUUCUCAGCACAUAAUAUUAGCUUAUUAGUUGAAGCUAGAACUAGAAAAUCAUAUAAAAUCUGGCUAAAAUUGUGCCAGCCGCCGCGGUUAUACUGUGAGGUUAAGUGAACAAAUUUUUGGUUAAAACGAGUUAUUAUGUUGUUAAAAUAAUAAAAAUAAGGUGUUAGGUAUGAGUGAAACAAAUAACUAAAAUAUUGUUUUUAUGGUAGUUAACGAAUAAGAGGCUUAAAAGCUUAAGAUAUAAACCAGGAUUAGAUACCCUGCUAUACUUAAAUUAAAAGAGUUACCUGGGUAGUAUAUAGUUAUUUUCUUGAAACCCAAAGAGUUUGGCGGUAUCUCAGCCUAGUUAGAGGAGCUUGUUCAGUAAUCGAUAUUCCUCGAAAAAUCUUACACACUUUUGUAGACAGUUUAUAUACCGUCGUUGUUAGAUAAUGUUAAAAGGCAAAUAAUUAUCCUAAUAUAAUAAAAUAUAAUAUAUCAGAUCAAGGUGUAACUUAUAAGUGUGAGUCGAAUGAGCUACAAUUUAAAGUAUGAAAACGGAAAUUAAUUUUAAAGUAAUUAAUGGAAGGCGGAUUUAAUAGUAAUCAUGGUUUUAGUAAGAAGUGAUGGUAUAAGCUCUGAGAUAUGUACACAUCGCCCGUCGCUCUCACUACAAAGUGAGAUAAGUCGUAACAUAGUAGGGGUACUGGAAAGUGUUCCUAGAAUG
Molecule: non-coding RNA, 835 nt
Filed under: Mesacturoides brevisquamatus
Lineage: Eukaryota; Metazoa; Arthropoda; Malacostraca; Stomatopoda; Takuidae
Source: RNAcentral